This 279-nucleotide ribosomal RNA is filed under the name uncultured bacterium. Its description in RNAcentral is "partial 16S ribosomal RNA". It matches the Rfam family "Bacterial small subunit ribosomal RNA", at positions 506 to 784 of the family's 1533-position model. The record is from RNAcentral.
UGCCAGCCGCCGCGGUAAUACGAAGGGCCCGAGCGUUAAUCGGAAUCACUGGGCUUAAAGGGUGUGUAGGCUGUUUUGUAAGUAUCUUGUGAAAUCCCAAGGCUCAACCUUGGAACUGCUGGGUAUACUGCAAAACUUGAGGUCGGUAGGGGCAGCUGGAACAAUAGGUGGAGCGGUGAAAUGCGUAGAUAUCUAUUGGAACGCCAAAGGCGAAGGCAAGCUGCUGGGCCGAAUCUGACGCUGAGACACGAAAGCGUGGGUAUCGAACGGGAUUAGAUA